GAGGAAGUAAAAGUCGUAACAAGGUUUCCGUAGGUGAACCUGCGGAAGGAUCAUUACCUAGAGUUGUAGGCUUUGCCUGCUAUCUCUUACCCAUGUCUUUUAAGUACCUUACGUUUCCUCGGCGGGUCCGCCCGCCGAUUGGACAAUUUAAACCAUUUGCAGUUGCAAUCAGCGUCUGAAAAAACUUAAUAGUUACAACUUUCAACAACGGAUCUCUUGGUUCUGGCAUCGAUGAAGAACGCAGCGAAAUGCGAUAAGUAGUGUGAAUUGCAGAAUUCAGUGAAUCAUCGAAUCUUUGAACGCACAUUGCGCCCCUUGGUAUUCCAUGGGGCAUGCCUGUUCGAGCGUCAUUUGUACCUUCAAGCUCUGCUUGGUGUUGGGUGUUUGUCUCGCCUCUGCGUGUAGACUCGCCUCAAAACAAUUGGCAGCCGGCGUAUUGAUUUCGGAGCGCAGUACAUCUCGCGCUUUGCACUCAUAACGACGACGUCCAAAAGUACA
RNAcentral lists this ribosomal RNA (498 nucleotides) under Didymella glomerata. Its description in RNAcentral is "eukaryotic LSU rRNA". The stretch from base 197 to 350 matches the Rfam family "5.8S ribosomal RNA". Lineage: Eukaryota; Fungi; Ascomycota; Dothideomycetes; Pleosporales; Didymellaceae. The record is from RNAcentral.